This 434-nucleotide long non-coding RNA is filed under the name Zostera marina. RNAcentral's name for it is "long non-coding RNA (ZMAR_LNC000261)". Lineage: Eukaryota; Viridiplantae; Streptophyta; Magnoliopsida; Alismatales; Zosteraceae. The record is from RNAcentral.
GAAUUUAUUGAAGUAAUUGAUUGAAUUAACUAUAGAAAUUAAUGAAAAUGAAUUAAUAAUCAAUUUUAAAUCCAUUUACAAUGGUAAGAGGUAUAAAUAAAAGAUCAUAUUUAACAGUCUAUUUUCAUAAGUGAUAUUUCAAAUUAAAGGCCUGCUUUCGUACUGGUGAGAGAGGAUCUUACAUCCAGGGACAUCACCAGAAAUCCACAUCCCAGCACGCAAAGAGGGGGGGAAUACUGAUAGUACAGGGUCCGACACGCAGACCAUAGUACUAAAAGACGUAUCCCAAAGUAUCUAAUACGCAGAGGAGGGGGGAGUACUGCUGAUACAGUAUCCUGAACACGGUCACAACCUACCAGCAACUAGAAGUCCGGAUAGCCUAAGAUGAGUUGAGGUAUCUAUUCUAGGGUUGGGGAGGUCCCAGGUCGAAUCCU